RNAcentral lists this unclassified non-coding RNA (311 nucleotides) under uncultured fungus. Its description in RNAcentral is "sequence contains ITS2". The stretch from base 1 to 52 matches the Rfam family "5.8S ribosomal RNA", at positions 103 to 154 of the family's 154-position model. Lineage: Eukaryota; Fungi. The record is from RNAcentral.
AACGCACCUUGCACCCUUUGGUAUUCCGAAGGGUAUGCCUGUUUGAGUGUCAUUAAAUUCUCAACUUCAAAAGACUUUACUGUCCUUUGAAGCUUGGACUAAUGGAGGUUUUUGCCGGCGUUAUUGUCAGCUCCUCUUAAAUGCAUUAGCAGAACUUUAUUAACAAAGACUAGGCUUUGGUUUGAUAAUACUAUCUAUGCUGUUGCUGUGACUUUGAAUGCUCUGCUUAUAAUUGUCUUCGGACUGUCUUUUUACAAGGCAUAUAUUUUAAGCUUGACCUCAAAUCAGGUAGGACUACCCGCUGAACUUAA